AGAGCGAACGCUGGCGGCAGGCCUAACACAUGCAAGUCGAGCGCCCCGCAAGGGGAGCGGCAGACGGGAGAGUAACACGUGGGAACGUACCCUUCAGUUCGGAACAACCCAGGGAAACUUGGGCUAAUACCGAAUACGUCCGUAAGGAGAAAGAUUUAUCGCUGAAGGAUCGGCCCGCGUCUGAUUAGCUAGUUGGUGAGGUAAUGGCUCACCAAGGCGACGAUCAGUAGCUGGUCUGAGAGGAUGAUCAGCCACAUUGGGACUGAGACACGGCCCAAACUCCUACGGGAGGCAGCAGUGGGAAUAUGGACAAUGGCGAAAGCCUGAUCCAGCCAUGCCGCGUGAGUGAUGAAGGCCUUAGGGUUGUAAAGCUCUUUUACCCGGGAAGAUAAUGACGGUACCGGGAGAAUAAGCCCGGCUAACUUCGCGCCAGCAGCCGC
This 440-nucleotide ribosomal RNA is filed under the name uncultured bacterium. RNAcentral's name for it is "SSU rRNA". It matches the Rfam family "Bacterial small subunit ribosomal RNA", at positions 26 to 518 of the family's 1533-position model. The record is from RNAcentral.